GAUGAAGAACGUAGCGAAAUGCGAUACUUGGUGUGAAUUGCAGAAUCCCGUGAACCAUCGAGUCUUUGAACGCAAGUUGCGCCCGAAGCCACUAGGCCGAGGGCACGCCUGCCUGGGCGUCACACGCCGUUGCCCCCCCAUCUACUCCUUCGGGAUUGCGGGGGGGCGGAUGAUGGCCUCCCGUGCGCCUAGCCGCGCGGUUGGCAUAAAUACCAAGUCCUCGGCGACGCACGCCACGACAAUCGGUGGUUCGAAACCUCGGUUGCCCGUCGUGUGCGUUCGUCGCGCAUCGAGGGCUCGAAAAAAUGCUCGGCUCCGGCUGGGCUUUCAACGCGACCCCAGGUCAGGCGGGGUUACCCGCUGAAUUUAAGCAUAUCAAUAAGCGGAGGA
Molecule: unclassified non-coding RNA, 390 nt
Filed under: soil metagenome
Description: partial contains 5.8S ribosomal RNA, internal transcribed spacer 2, and large subunit ribosomal RNA
Rfam family: 5.8S ribosomal RNA (bases 1-122)
Source: RNAcentral